GAUUAAGAACGUAGCGAAAUGCGAUAAGUAGUGUGAAUUGCAGAAUUCAGUGAAUCAUCGAAUCUUUGAACGCACAUUGCGCCCCUUGGUAUUCCAUGGGGCAUGCCUGUUCGAGCGUCAUUUGUACCUUCAAGCUCUGCUUGGUGUUGGGUGUUUGUCUCGCCUCUGCGUGUAGACUCGCCUCAAAACAAUUGGCAGCCGGCGUAUUGAUUUCGGAGCGCAGUACAUCUCGCGCUUUGCACUCAUAACGACGACGUCCAAAAGUACAUUUUUACACUCUUGACCUCGGAUCAGGUAGGGAUACCCGCUGAACUUAAGCAUAUCAAUAAGCGGAGGA
RNAcentral lists this unclassified non-coding RNA (337 nucleotides) under soil metagenome. Its description in RNAcentral is "partial contains 5.8S ribosomal RNA, internal transcribed spacer 2, and large subunit ribosomal RNA". The stretch from base 1 to 120 matches the Rfam family "5.8S ribosomal RNA", at positions 35 to 154 of the family's 154-position model. The record is from RNAcentral.